UGGGGAAUCUUGCACAAUGGAGGAAACUCUGAUGCAGCGACGCCGCGUGAGCGAUGAAGCCCUUCGGGGUGUAAAGCUCUUUCGACGGGAACGAUAAUGACGGUACCCGGAGAAGAAGCUGCGGCUAACUACGUGCCAGCAGCCGCGGUAAUACGUAGGCAGCAAGCGUUGUUCGGAAUUACUGGGCGUAAAGAGUGUGUAGGCGGUUCUCUAUGUUCGGUGUGAAAUCUCCCGGCUUAACUGGGAGGGUGCGCCGAAAACUGGAGGGCUUGAGUAUGGGAGAGGAAAGCGGAAUUCCUGGUGUAGCGGUGAAAUGCGUAGAUAUCAGGAGGAACACCUGCGGUGUAGACGGCUUUCUGGACCAUCACUGACGCUGAGACACGAAAGCGUGGGUAGCAAACAGGAUUAGAUACCCCCGUAGUCC
RNAcentral lists this ribosomal RNA (424 nucleotides) under uncultured bacterium. RNAcentral describes it as "bacterial SSU rRNA". It matches the Rfam family "Bacterial small subunit ribosomal RNA", at positions 355 to 796 of the family's 1533-position model. The record is from RNAcentral.